Molecule: ribosomal RNA, 1582 nt
Filed under: metagenome
Description: bacterial LSU rRNA
Rfam family: Bacterial large subunit ribosomal RNA
Source: RNAcentral
GCAAGCGGCUGUGGAGUGUAUAGAAGUGAGAAUGCCGGAAUGAGUAGCGCGAAUGCAGUGAGAAUCUGCAUGGCCGAAAGCCUCAGGUUUCUGGAGGAAGGUUCGUCCGCUCCAGGUUAGUCGGGAGCUAAGGUGAGGCCUAACGGCGUAGCCGAUGCACAGACGGUAGAGAUUCCGUCACCACCAAAAGAGUUAAACACAGGGACACAUUUGAAGUCUCGGAGCCGGGUGUUGGUUCCGGUAGCGAUCGAGGGAAAUUAGUACCGAAGUCCGGGAUGGAAGAUGGCGAGAAAAGCUGUGUGUAUUUCUGCGGUGCCCGUACCGCAAACCGACACAGGUAGGUAGGAAGAAGAUUCUAAGGCCAACGGGGGAAGGGUUGUUAAGGAACUCGGCAAAUUGACCCCGUAACUUCGGGAGAAGGGGUGCUCUAGAGAUAGAGCCGCAGAGAAUCGGCCCAAGCAACUGUUUACCAAAAACACAGGUUUGUGCUAAAUCGAAAGAUGACGUAUACGAGCUGACGCCUGCCCGGUGCUGGAAGGUUAAGAGGAGAUGUGCAAGCAUUGAAUCGAAGCCCCAGUGAACGGCGGCCGUAACGAUAACGGUCCUAAGGUAGCGAAAUUCCUUGUCAGGUAAGUUCUGACCCGCAUGAAAGGCGUAAUGAUUUGGGCACUGUCUCGACAGCCCGCCCGGCGAAAUUGUAGUACCGGUGAAGAUGCCGGUUACCCGCGACAAGACGGAAAGACCCCAUGGAGCUUUACUGUAGCCUAAUAUUGGGUUUCGAUGUUGCAUGCACAGGAUAGAUGGGACACUGGGAAGCAAGUGCUUUGGCAUUUGUGGAGUGGCCGUUGGGAUACCAUCCUUGCGAUAUUGGAAUUCUAACCUGCGCCUUUGAAUCAAGGCGGGGGACAUUGUUAGGUGGGCAGUUUGACUGGGGCGGUCGCCUCCUAAAGAGUAACGGAGGCGUUCAAAGGUUCGCUCAGCUUGAACGGAAAUCAAGCAAAAGAGUGCAAACGCAGAAGCGAGCCUAACUGCGAGACUGACGGGUCGAGCAGUAACGAAAGUUGGAGUUAGUGAUCCGGUGGUAUGUGAGUGGAAAUGCCAUCGCUCAACGGAUAAAAGUUACCCUGGGGAUAACAGGCUGAUCUCCCCCAAGAGUCCACAUCGACGGGGAGGUUUGGCACCUCGAUGUCGGCUCAUCGCAUCCUGGGGCUGUAUUCGGUCCCAAGGGUUUGGCUGUUCGCCAAUUAAAGCGGUACGCGAGCUGGGUUCAGAACGUCGUGAGACAGUUCGGUCCCUAUCUGUCGUGGGCGCAGGAUAUUUGAUGGGAGCUGUUCCUAGUACGAGAGGACCGGAGCGGACGUGCCUCUGGCGCACCAGUUGUUCUGCCAAGGGCAUAGCUGGGCAACUAUGUACGGAUCGGAUAAACGCUGAAAGCAUCUAAGCGUGAAGCCGACCCAAAGAUAAGAUAUCCCAUUGUUUCAAACAAGUAAGACCCCUUGAAGACUACAAGGUUGAUAGGCACGAUGUGUAAGUGGAGUGAUCCAUUCAGCAAGCGAGUACUAAUAGGUCGAGGGCUUGACCU